GAGAAUAAUAAUAUUCUUCCAUAAACAUUAUUUUAUUAUUGUGCUCAUCUUCCUUGACUAGAAAGAGAGAUCAUUUCAAAACAUGCAAGAACAGAGAACUAACAGAGAAGUCAGAAAUGAACCAUCCAUUUUCUUUUCCUUUUUCCCUCACUCUCAUAUAACCACCCCCCCACAUCACACAUAAUCUUUUAUACGUAUAUUGGGCCUCCUCAGCCUUGCACUUUUUCUGUUAUGCACAAUUGUAUCA
This 247-nucleotide long non-coding RNA is filed under the name Vigna radiata. RNAcentral describes it as "long non-coding RNA (VRAD_LNC003846)". The record is from RNAcentral. Lineage: Eukaryota; Viridiplantae; Streptophyta; Magnoliopsida; Fabales; Fabaceae.